UCAGAGGGGGUGGGGUCCCUCAGCCCGGAUUGUGAGAAGGUGCAGGCCAGACCGAGGGACCCCACUGGUGCAUG
Non-coding RNA from Myotis lucifugus (little brown bat), 74 nucleotides. NCBI's taxonomy places the organism in Eukaryota, Metazoa, Chordata, Mammalia, Chiroptera, Vespertilionidae. The record is from Rfam.